Molecule: ribosomal RNA, 1243 nt
Filed under: metagenome
Description: bacterial LSU rRNA
Rfam family: Bacterial large subunit ribosomal RNA
Source: RNAcentral
UACACGACCGUACCGCAAACCGACACUGGUGCGCGAGAUGAGUAUUCUAAGGCGCUUGAGAGAACUCAGGAGAAGGAACUCGGCAAAUUGACACCAUAACUUCGGAAGAAGGUGUGCCUUUAGUAGGUGAACCAUUUACUUGGGGAGCCCAAUGAGGCUGCAAAAAAUCGGUGGCUGCAACUGUUUAUUAAAAACACAGCACUCUGCUAAGACGAAAGUCGACGUAUAGGGUGUGACGCCUGCCCGGUGCUGGAAGAUUAAAUGAUGGGGUGCAAGCUCUUGAUUGAAGUCCCAGUAAACGGCGGCCGUAACAAUAACGGUCCUAAGGUAGCGAAAUUCCUUGUCGGGUAAGUUCCGACCUGCACGAAUGGCGUAAUGAUGGCCACACUGUCUCCUCCUGAGACUCAGCGAAGUUGAAAUGUUUGUGAUGAUGCAAUCUCCCCGCGGAAAGACGGAAAGACCCCAUGAACCUUUACUGUAGCUUUGUAUUGGACUUUGAACAGAUCUGUGUAGGAUAGGUGGGAGGCUUUGAAGUGUGGUCGCUAGAUCGCAUGGAGCCAACGUUGAAAUACCACCCUGGUGUGUUUGAGGUUCUAACCUAGGUCCAUUAUCUGGAUCGGGGACAGUGCAUGGUAGGCAGUUUGACUGGGGCGGUCUCCUCCCAAAGUGUAACGGAGGAGUUCGAAGGUACGCUAGGUACGGUCGGACAUCGUGCUAAUAGUGCAAUGGCAUAAGCGUGCUUAACUGCGAGACUGACAAGUCGAGCAGAUGCGAAAGCAGGACAUAGUGAUCCGGUGGUUCUGUAUGGAAGGGCCAUCGCUCAACGGAUAAAAGGUACUCUGGGGAUAACAGGCUGAUACCGCCCAAGAGUUCAUAUCGACGGCGGUGUUUGGCACCUCGAUGUCGGCUCAUCUCAUCCUGGGGCUGUAGCCGGUCCCAAGGGUAUGGCUGUUCGCCAUUUAAAGAGGUACGUGAGCUGGGUUUAAAACGUCGUGAGACAGUUUGGUCCCUAUCUUCCGUGGGCGCUGCAGAUUUGAGGAAGCCUGCUCCUAGUACGAGAGGACCGGAGUGGACGAACCUCUGGUGUAUCGGUUGUCACGCCAGUGGCAUUGCCGAGUAGCUAAGUUCGGAAGAGAUAACCGCUGAAAGCAUCUAAGCGGGAAACUCGUUUCAAGAUUAGAUCUGCCGGGGCCUUGAGCCCCCUAAAGAGUCGUUCAAGACCAGGACGUUGAUAGGUCAGGUG